UACGAAGGGGGCGAGCGUUGUUCGGAAUUACUGGGCGUAAAGAGCGCGUAGGCGGAGGGAGAAGUCCGGUGUGAAAGCCCACGGCUCAACCGUGGAAGGUCGCUGGAAACUCUUCUUCUUGAGGGCGACAGAGGGAAGUGGAAUUGCUGGUGUAGCGGUGAAAUGCGUAGAUAUCAGCAGGAACACCCAUGGCGAAGGCAGCUUCCUGGGUCGGCCCUGACGCUGAGGCGCGAAAGCGUGGGGAGCGAACGGG
RNAcentral lists this ribosomal RNA (253 nucleotides) under uncultured bacterium. RNAcentral describes it as "partial 16S ribosomal RNA". It matches the Rfam family "Bacterial small subunit ribosomal RNA", at positions 524 to 776 of the family's 1533-position model. The record is from RNAcentral.